ACUAUUGUGUGUUUUUCAGAGACGUUCAUGCGUGGUUUAUUUAGAUCUACUUUCAUGUAAAAGAAAAUAAGAUGAGCUCCAAGGGCAGUUUGUCAGGUUGAGGCCACAUGCCACAGCUUUCAGGUGCUGUUCCUGAUUUAUGGCUACUCAAUGUCAAUUCCCCUGCAAUGUCUUGUGUAUAAAAGGCACAUCCUCUGUUAUGACAGGGUCCUGACAUAGAAACUGAUGUGAUUACAAUUAGAGGGCACAUCACAGUCAAAGAGACAGAAGGUGGCAUGAACUGAAUCCACACUAUGCAGUGAAGGAUGUUAGAAACAUUUCUCUGCUGAGGACACUUUAGCAAAGGUGAAAUGUGAGCUGUCAGAUACGCGGAUGCCAGGAGGAAAUGUACUUUAUGUAGGUUCAUUCAGAGACCGUAAUCCUUACACUGUUUGACAUGUUCUUUUCCCCUCUGCUACUUAAAAUAUUUUUCAGAU
Cyprinus carpio carpio is the source of this 476-nucleotide long non-coding RNA. Lineage: Eukaryota; Metazoa; Chordata; Actinopteri; Cypriniformes; Cyprinidae. The record is from Ensembl.